This 211-nucleotide unclassified non-coding RNA is filed under the name Hevea brasiliensis (rubber tree). Lineage: Eukaryota; Viridiplantae; Streptophyta; Magnoliopsida; Malpighiales; Euphorbiaceae. The record is from RNAcentral.
CCAGGCUAGGAUUAUCAACAAGCACCAAGGACUCCAGAGACGGAGUUACAGGAAGCACCUUUAAUGCAUUGCACUUUUUAAUCGUCAGAAUUUCUAGCUUAUCAAAGAUAUCAGGCAACUUUCUUAGCUUGGGACAGUCACAAAUCUUUAGCCUACGCAGGGAAGGAUAUUGCAUGUUUGGCCAUGCCUCCAACUCCUGCAAUCCUUUGAC